GAUGAACGCUGGCGGCGUGCCUAAUACAUGCAAGUCGAGCGAACAGAUGAGGAGCUUGCUCCUCUGACGUUAGCGGCGGACGGGUGAGUAACACGUGGAUAACCUACCUAUAAGACUGGGAUAACUUCGGGAAACCGGAGCUAAUACCGGAUAAUAUAUUGAACCGCAUGGUUCAAUAGUAAAAGACGGUUUUGCUGUCACUUAUAGUUGGAUCCGCGCCCGAUUAGCUAGUUGGUAAGGUAACGGCUUACCGAGGCAACGAUGCGUAGCCGACCUGAGAGGGUGAUCGGCCACACUGGAACUGAGAAACGGUCCAGACUGCUACGGGAGGCAGCAGUAGGGAAUCAUCCGAAAUGGGCGAAAGGCUGAAGGAGCAACGCCGCGUGAGUGAUGAAGGUCUUCGGAUCGUAAAACUCUGUUAUUAGGGAAGAACAAAUGUGUAAGUAACUAUGCAAGUCUUGACGGUACCUAAUCAGAAAGCCGCGGAUAACUACG
RNAcentral lists this ribosomal RNA (495 nucleotides) under uncultured bacterium. Its description in RNAcentral is "partial 16S ribosomal RNA". It matches the Rfam family "Bacterial small subunit ribosomal RNA", at positions 28 to 505 of the family's 1533-position model. The record is from RNAcentral.